UACGGAGGGGGCUAGCGUUGUUCGGAAUUACUGGGCGUAAAGCGCGCGUAGGCGGCUUUGUAAGUUAGAGGUGAAAGCCCGGGGCUUAACCCCGGAAUUGCCUUUAAGACUGCAUCGCUUGAAUCAUGGAGAGGUGAGUGGAAUUCCGAGUGUAGAGGUGAAAUUCGUAGAUAUUCGGAAGAACACCAGUGGCGAAGGCGGCUCACUGGCCCGGUACUGACGCUGAGGUGCGAAAGCGUGGGGAGCAAACAGG
This 253-nucleotide ribosomal RNA is filed under the name uncultured bacterium. Its description in RNAcentral is "partial 16S ribosomal RNA". It matches the Rfam family "Bacterial small subunit ribosomal RNA", at positions 524 to 776 of the family's 1533-position model. The record is from RNAcentral.